Molecule: long non-coding RNA, 314 nt
Organism: Perca flavescens (yellow perch)
Lineage: Eukaryota; Metazoa; Chordata; Actinopteri; Perciformes; Percidae
Exons: 3
Source: RefSeq, a predicted model, not a curated record
GUGGUCCAGGGCUCUUAGGUGUCUGCUGUAGGUGGUCCAGGGCUCUUAGGUGUCUGCUGUAGGUGGUCCAGGGCUGUAGGUGGUCCAGGGCUCUUAGGUGUCUGCUGUAGGUGGUCCAGGGCUCUUAGGUGUCUGCUGUAGGUGGUCAAGGGCUCUUAGGUGUCUGCUGUAGGUGGUCCAGGGCUCUUAGGUGUCUGCUGUAGGUGGUCCAGGGCUGUAGGUGGUCCAGGGCUCUUAGGUGUCUGCUGUAGGUGGUCCAGGGCUGUAGGUGUCUGCUGUAGGUGGUCCAGGGCUGUAGGUGGUCCAGGGCUCUU